Molecule: long non-coding RNA, 2597 nt
Organism: Prinia subflava (tawny-flanked prinia)
Lineage: Eukaryota; Metazoa; Chordata; Aves; Passeriformes; Cisticolidae
Exons: 2
Source: RefSeq, a predicted model, not a curated record
UGUUUUAUUGGAAUUCCCUUUUACACACACCUGUACUUUGCCUUUCCUCGCUUGUUACUCUGGUCCGUGCAGGCAGCAGAGGUGGAGGAAUGUGAACCAGAUUCCUGCCCGGAGACACACACACGGCAAUCCCUGGAUCACCCCCCCGUCCUGGGGGUUUUGGGGGGUUUGUCCCUCUCCUGGAGGGGAACAAGGUCUUGAAACUCACCUCAGUGGAAAAACUGAGGGAAGAGAGGAGAAAACCCCGCUGCUCCUCUGCCUCCUGCUCCGAGUGGGACAAGGAGCCAAUAUCCUGGGAAAAACCCCUUUUCCCAAAGCCCAGACCCCACGGCUUGUGGUGCCCGCCAGGGCUGGCUCGCCCUGAGGCUGCUGAGAUGGAGCCGAGGGGGUCAGGGGCAGCUUUGCCUCCUCCUGGAUCCCGAGGGGAAGCUUUGCCUCCUCCUGGAUCCCGAGGGGUUUGGAAUGUGGGAUGGGCCCGGCUGUGCCUGUCCUUCCUCUUGUCCCACCACCACCCAGCACUCCUGUCCCUCCUGCUCCAUCCAAGCUGGCCUUCCAAACAUCCCACCUCCAACAACAAAUGCAUUCCUGCCCGAGGCCACGUUGGUUCCCUGUCCUGGAACUGGAACCAGGCGGGUUUUAAGCUCUUUUCCAACCUGAACCAUCCCGGAUUCUCUGACCCCUCCUUCCCUGCAGCUCCCAGGGAGGAAGAAUUCGUUUAGGUAGAGAAGGGGGUAGAGGAUUGGCCUGGCAAGCAGAGCUCAGGUCUGCAUUUAGGCUGGCCUAUGUCUCAUAAAGCUCUGCUUUAAAUCUGUGCUGCUUCUCACAGUGUGGUCUCCUCUUCAGGCACCUGAGCCUGACUGCUUGGGCCGCCCCUCAGUUAAGCUGGGCUUAAGGCUUCCUCCCCAGCGGAUUUUGUAUCCCUGUUUCAGAGGAUGCAACCCUGGGCAUUUUGGAAACCAGGCACACUCUGAUCCCUCCAUCCCAAACAUUUUAAUUCCAUGUUUUUCCAGCCAAGGGUCUCCCACACCCUAAGACUCCAACAAGGGGAAGUUGAAGCCAGAGAAAAUGAAGAAUUUUUGGAGAGGAAGGUGCUCCUCAGCCCUCCUCCUGUCUCUGGUGUCAGGGAUCCUGAUGGAUUCUGCAUCUAAAGGAUAAAAUCACCCCAAAAUCCCAGUGCUGAUUAAGGUUUUGGGAACAGGGAAUUUAAUUUGAAUUGUUCCCCUUUUCCUCCUCAGAAUUUAUGGGUAAAACCCACUCCAUGGAAAUCAACAGAUGCCUCGGAAUUGAUUUUUCCUGGCACCGGGAUUUCAUCCCAAACUGUGGUUUUGCACACUCCAUCAUUAGCCCAGAAUCAUUAACCUCAGCCCGAGGAAAUAAUUAAAUUCCAUUGAAUUCCAACUCCACUGAAUUAUUUAGUUAACGAGUCAGGAAAACCAUUGCUCCAGUCGAGGGGAGAAGAUGAUCCGUGGGACCCAGGAGAAACGGGUGGGAAUUCCAUGUUCCCGAGCUGAGUUUGUGCUAAUUUACCUUUUUCCAGUGAAAAAGAAGAAGGAAAGGUGGCAGUGAGGAUGAAAAGGAAGAGGGAGCUGUCACUGACUUUGUCACACCCCACAUUCCCCCUUCUGCUCUCUUAAUAUUCCUCCAAUUAGGAAAAAUCCUAAUUAGGCCCUAAUUUAGCUCUGUCAGAUCGCGCUGGCCAGGCUGUCUGCCUGGGAAGAAGUCCGAUUUAUUUACUUCAUUAAUUACUCCUGAUUAACCGGGUGAGUUUUCCAGGACUUUUCCAUCUAUUCCUGGCCCCUGCCAAUCCCUCAGCUGAUUUCCAGCCCUGGAAACACCUGGAAAUGCCUGGAAAUGCCUGGAAAAUGCCUGGAAAUGCCUCUGUGGGGGGCAGAUUUUGUGAUGCAAAGGCAGCUCAGGGGACACGUGUUCCCAAAGGAGAACUAUUGGAGAAUCAGGGAAUUGCUGGGUUGGGAAAGACCAGCUGGAUCACCCGGACUCCAAUUGGAAAGCACCGACCCAGAGCAGAAACCACAGGGGCAGGACAGAAGGUGAAAUUAAACUCAAAUUAAUGAAAUGAAGCUGAAAUUAAAAAAAUAAAAUGAAGCUCAAAUUUAAAAAGGGAAGCUCACAUUAAAGAGGAAUAUUCAAUGUUGUAUCGGCUCUAAUCCCAAAUCCCUGGACGGGGUGGGAAGAUUCCUGGGAACUCUGGAACACUGAGUCCAGAUCCUUGAGGAAAACAGGAGUUCACUUGGAGGGUGGAAUGCUGGGCUGGAAACCCUUCCCUGCUCCGUGGAAAGGCUUCAGAGGAACUUGAGUUCGUGUUGCUUUAAUGCUCCCCCGGGAUCAUCUUUCCUCCCCUUGACUCCCAAAUCCUGGCAAAAUGUCGGCAUUAUCGGGAACUUUGUGUGCUCUGGGGCUACUGGAAACAGGGAAAACAGUGGGAAAACUUGGGAGAUGUGAGUUCACAGGAAAGGAAAGGAAAGGAAAGGAAAGGAAAGGAAAGGAAAGGAAAGGAAAGGAAAGGAAAGGAAAGGAAAGGAAAGGAAAGGAAAGGAAAGGAAAGGAAAGGAAAGGAAAGGAAAGGAAAGGAAAGGAAA